This is a long non-coding RNA of Crotalus tigris (Tiger rattlesnake), 1636 nucleotides long. RefSeq lists it as uncharacterized. The transcript is spliced from 2 exons. The record is from RefSeq and is a predicted model, not a curated record. Lineage: Eukaryota; Metazoa; Chordata; Lepidosauria; Squamata; Viperidae.
AGUUCUUAUAAAUUAAUGUACUUGAGGUUUUUAUGGUAGUGAGGAGGGCCUAAUGGCUUGAAUUAAAUAGGGCAUUAUUAUGAUGUACUAUUUUAAAACAGAGAACUAUUCUUAGGAUGCCCUAAUAUAACAAGGACAGACUGAUCUGAUUCCCUUGCCAGUUCUAGAGAUCCUCAGUAGUUUGUUAGCAUAGAGGAAACGGAUGAACAAAUGGAAUGACAAAAUGCAACUUCUUCACUCGGUUCAAGAAGCCAGAAACUCUGUACUAGAAACAAAGUGGUGUGAGCUAAACACAAGCCAGGAGAAUCUCAAGUCUCAGCUUCAGCAAAUGAGGGACAGAAACCGUACCCUAGAAAUGAAUUGUCAUGACUUAAUAGCAAAGCAUGAGAAUCUCAAGAUGGAAGUUCAGAAAAUGAGAUUGGACAUUCGGGUAUGAAUAACUGCCAGUUAUGUUCAAUGCAAUAAUACAUUUGGAACUCGCUGAAUAUGCUCUCCUAAGACAGAUUGGCAAGUGGUAAAAGACACAUGCUUUGAGUUCUUGAGCUACAUGUCAUUCUCAGGAACUAAUAUGUGAGGAAGAAUGUGGCUGCUCUCUAAAGGCUAAAUCUUUCUCAGAUGGCAACCCUACUGUUGAAAUUCUACCCUAGGGGCUUGCAAGUUGGAAUACUCCCACACCUUCCAAUGAAUAAAGAAAUCCUCCCUUCAUUACAGGAAAUAGCUUUUGGGAGGGGGAAAGAGAUUUUAGUCUAUCUUCUCCUUGAUAUACAUUAGUUUUCUUUCAUCUAUCUAUCUAUCUAUCUAUCUAUCUAUCUAUCUAUCUAUCUAUCUAUCUAUCUAUCUAUCUAUCAAAUGUGUACAUAGCCGCCCAUCUCAAAGGAAGUGAUUCUGGGUGUACAACAAUCAAAUAAAAAAUAAUAUGCACAUAAACAGAGCAUUUAAGAAGUCGAAAAAGUGAACAUUAAAAAAAGGAAACUAAUUAAAAUUAAAAAUACAGAAACUCCAGGCAGAGAAAGAAUACAGUAAAUAUAUCCUGCUCCCGCACAGUGCUCUCUGAAAGGCCUAGAGAUGCUGCCUUGGUGGGAACUGGAUUGAGAGACCAGUUCUAAAUCACUGGAAAGGACCUUCGCCAGUCAUCCUUGUACCAUUGGCUAAGUGGCAGUCUUCUUUCCCCGUGCAAAUACAUUUUUAAAUGGUAUCAUUUGUAAAUCUCACUUCUCAUCCAAUUUGGGAUAAUGUGUAUGAAUGAACUCUUGUGUUAAUUUGCCAGAUUUGGAUGACAUAUUUGUUUUAUUGAAGAAGGAGACUAUUGCUUAUGGAUCCUAACUUUUAAAAUCAUGGUUUUGGGUGUUUAAUAUAUCUUUUCAUUGAUAUUUUAGUUUUUAUUUCUAUUUAUUUAUUUACAUUUCUUGGUUUUCCAACUUCCAACAUAAAUUGUAGACAAUUAGAGUAUAGUAUAUUGACUGCAAAAGCUAGCCAUCAUUUUCUAUAUUCUAAAUUAAAUAUAAAUUUCUUUCUUCAAUACUUCAAUACCAUCAUCUAAUUACCUUCUUUUUUAACAUCAUAGUAAAAUUGUUUAUUAAGAUUGGAAUAUCUGUAUAUAACUAUCAUUUUUAUUUCUUCAUUAUACAUUUUAAAA